Panonychus citri (citrus red mite) is the source of this 2022-nucleotide RNA transcript. It is a transcript of the gene named platelet glycoprotein 4-like, with no coding region annotated. The transcript is spliced from 11 exons. The record is from RefSeq and is a predicted model, not a curated record. Lineage: Eukaryota; Metazoa; Arthropoda; Arachnida; Trombidiformes; Tetranychidae.
AUGAUUAGUUAAUUGUUAUUCAUCUUCAGCUUAGCAUAGAUGAUUUUUUUUAUUCUAAUUAAUUGUAAUUAAUUAUAAUUUGCAAUUCUAAUUGUCCAAGGAUAACGAUCAUAGUUGGUGAAUUAACUGGGAAUCAACAGUUAUUUUUUGUUUUCUUAUUCUUCUCGAAUUGAAUUAACUUUUAAUUGUGUCUUUUAUAAUCUAAAUUUUUACUUAAUUGUGUCAUCGAGUUUGUCAACAAUCAACUAAUCAUGAACAAGAUUGUUUUCCUUUCCCUCGGGGGCAUUGGGAUCGCCAUUGCCCUUAUAUCAGCAAUAGUUUUAGGACAAUUUCCCAAUAUGAUUCAAAAACAAGUCUCAAAGCAACUUGUAGUCUCAGAAUGCUCAGAAGAUUAUGAGAAAUUCCUAGCACCGAAUGUGCCAAUUUACUUGAAAUUUUACGUUUUCCAUGUGGAUAAUCCAGAAGCAAUUUUGGCCGGUGAAAAGCCGAUAUUAGUUCAAAAGGGUCCAUACAGUUUCUUAGAGAAACGAGUAAAGGAAAUUGAUGGUUACCAUGAAUGUGGAGACGAAGUUGUUUAUAAAGAGACGAAAACUUAUCAUUUUGAUCCAGAGACUUCACGGAAAUCGGCCUCACUUGACGACGUCGUUACUCACAUCAAUGUACCUGCAAUGACUGUUAUGGGCGCUUCUUUCCAUUUACCGCAAAAAGGAAUGGGUCAAAUAUUCCGAAGCCUUUUCCCCCAAUUGGCGACACAAAAAACGAAAACAACAAUGUUCCUUAAUCACACAGUUCGAGAAUUGUUAUUCGAAACGUAUCCAAUUGAAUUUAUUGAUGACCUGAACUCGGUUUUAGCUCAAUUGAAACAACCAUCAGUUAAUCUAACCGAUUUCGCUUUCUUUAUGGAUAAAAACGCAACCGAUGAAGGUGAAUUCAGAGUCCACACUGGAGCCAAAAAAAUCAAGAAUCUUCUUCAUAUCGAGAGUUGGAAAGGUUCACCUCAAGUUGAUUUUUGGAUAGAAAAUUCAACUUGUAACAACAUCGUUGGAACCGAUGGAUCAGCAUUUCCUCCUAAUGUCAAGAAGAACAGUAAACUUGAGAUAUUUACAACUGAUCUUUGCAGAUCUUUCCCAUUGGUGUACAAAGAGAAAGUAAAAGUAAAAGGAAUCUCAACUUACCGAUUUGUUAUUCCACCGGAAGCUUUUUAUGGACCGGAAAAGAAUCCAGAAAACAAGUGUUUCUGUAUUAAUCCCGAUCCAAAGACUUGUAAUCACAACGGACUAUUGGACAUAUCAAGUUGCCGACAAUUCGCUCCAUUAGUGGCCUCAUCCCCUCACUUUUUCCAAGCCGAUGAUGACCUUUACAACGCGAUUAUUGGUCUAGAUGAAAGAAAAGCAGAUCGAUACCAAACCUAUUUAGAUAUUGAACCAAUCACCGGAAAGGUUUUAUCGGCUUUCAAGAGAUUACAAAUCUCUGCUUGGCUCAAGAAUGACUACAGUAUUGAAAAAACCAACACUAAUGUUUACAUGCCGGUUAUUUGGGUUGAAGAGGGUUUUACUUUAACUGAUGAACUUGCCGAUGAAUUUAAAUCAAAGGUUACCAAAAAAGUGAACCUUGGAUCAAGUCUACUCAUUACUGCUCUAAUCAUUGGAUUACUUUUAAUUGUCGCUGGUUUAGGAUUAUUUUUCUAUAAUAAAUUUCAAUCUGACGUUCAAAUCGAGGAUCCUAGAGCCAAAGUGAUGAAAAGUUGGAGACCCGAAGUGACCCCUGACCUGCCCUCAAAUUCUGUUGCUAAAGAAAACAAUUCUCAGACAAAAUUCUGAUUCAAGAUUGAACAAGAAAAUUCAUAAGUUCAGCUCAAUUCUCGAAUCUUCCUUCAAUCCCAAUGGUAGAAAGAGCGACCUUUGAGUAAUUGAUGAAAUUAACAAUCAUUUUUAAAUUCUUAACAAUUGACAUACAUUAAAUAACAAUUAAAAAUGUAUAAAAAUAUCAUCAAUAAACAUGAAUUUUGGACAAUAAGUUCAA